This 440-nucleotide ribosomal RNA is filed under the name uncultured bacterium. Its description in RNAcentral is "bacterial SSU rRNA". It matches the Rfam family "Bacterial small subunit ribosomal RNA", at positions 90 to 518 of the family's 1533-position model. The record is from RNAcentral.
ACCUAGUGGCGGACGGGUGAGUAACACAGUGGGUGACCUACCCUUAAGACUGGGAUACCUAUUGGAAACGAUAGUAAUACCGGAUAACACGUAUAUCGUUUAUACGUUAAAAGGAGCCUUUAAAGCUUCACUUUUGGAUGGGCCUGUGGCGUAUUAGUUAGUUGGUGAGGUAAUGGCUCACCAAGACGACGAUGCGUAGCCGAACUGAGAGGUUGAUCGGCCACAUUGGGACUGAGACACGGCCCAAACUCCUACGGGAGACAGCAGUUAGGAAUAUUCGUCAAUGGGGGAAACCCUGAACGAGCAAUGCCGCGUGAAUGAUGACGGCCCCUAUGGGUUGUAAAAUUCUGUUGUAUAGGAAAAACGAUAAGAUUAGGAAAUGAAUCUUGUGUGAUGGUACUAUACCAGAAAGCUCCGGCUAACUACGUGCCAGCAGCAGC